This 253-nucleotide ribosomal RNA is filed under the name uncultured bacterium. RNAcentral describes it as "partial 16S ribosomal RNA". It matches the Rfam family "Bacterial small subunit ribosomal RNA", at positions 524 to 776 of the family's 1533-position model. The record is from RNAcentral.
UACGGAGGGUGCGAGCGUUGUCCGGAAUCACUGGGCGUAAAGGGCGCGUAGGCGGCCUGAUAAGUAGGGGGUGAAAUCCUGCGGCUUAACCGCAGGGCUGCCUUCUAAACUGUCAGGCUAGAGCACAGUAGAGGCAGGUGGAAUUCCCGGUGUAGCGGUGGAAUGCGUAGAGAUCGGGAAGAACAUCAGUGGCGAAGGCGACUACCUGGCCUGUUCUUGACGCUGAGGCGCGAAAGCUAGGGGAGCAAACGGG